Molecule: long non-coding RNA, 260 nt
Filed under: Lathyrus oleraceus (garden pea)
Lineage: Eukaryota; Viridiplantae; Streptophyta; Magnoliopsida; Fabales; Fabaceae
Description: Pisum sativum (pea) long non-coding RNA (PSAT_LNC012950)
Source: RNAcentral
UUGUGUUGAUUUUACCUUAAACAAGGGCGUGUGAAAAGAAUGUUUGUGAUUAGAUUGCACUAAAGUCUAGGGGCUGAGAUGAAUAUUCUAGACAACAAUUCAAGCGUCUUGCAUCCAAAAUAAUCAGAGUGAGAAUAUGAAUGCUUCAUUUCCACUUAUUUUCCACCACUUAAGGCAUGUGGCGUACAAUACUAAUUGUAGUUAUUAAGUGUUUUGAAUUUGAUUAUAAAAAAGUUAUUUAACAUUGAAUCAAGGGUUUG